CUAUUAGACUGAAUACAAAAAACAGAGAGCAGUUGCCUGUAUAAAUACAUAAAAAGAUGGGAGUUGCCUUACCAACUGUGAGGUCAGUCUAUCGAGAUAAUUCACUUAACAGCAGGAUACCAAAGGAGAAAAAAUAACUUUUGAAGU
Dermochelys coriacea (leatherback sea turtle) is the source of this 147-nucleotide long non-coding RNA. RefSeq lists it as uncharacterized. The transcript is spliced from 5 exons. The record is from RefSeq and is a predicted model, not a curated record. NCBI's taxonomy places the organism in Eukaryota, Metazoa, Chordata, Testudines, Dermochelyidae.